UGAAGCUUAGGAUUACAUCAAACCGAGGGCCUUCAAAGCCCUAAAAAAGAGAAUAAACCUCUUAGCUUCUG
Molecule: transfer RNA, 71 nt
Filed under: Uromastyx aegyptia aegyptia
Lineage: Eukaryota; Metazoa; Chordata; Lepidosauria; Squamata; Agamidae
Source: RNAcentral